CGCAGCRACGCCGCGUGSGGGAUGAAGGCYUUCGGGUUGCAAACCCCUUUCAGYAGGGACGAAAUUGACGGUACCUGCMKAAGAAGCCCCGGCCAACUACGUGCCARCAGCCGCGGUAACACGUAGGGGGCGAGCGUUGUCCGGAUUUAUUGGGMGUAAAGAGCUCGUASGCKGCUCGGUAAGUUGGGCGUGAAAUUUCAGGGCUCAACCCUGAAAAGCCGUCCGAUACUGCCGUGGCUAGAGUCCGGUAGGGGAGSGUGKAAUUCCUAGUGUAGCGGWGAAAUGCGCASAUAUUAGGAGGAACACCUGCAGCGAAGGCGGCGCUCUGGGCCGGUACUGACGCUGAGGAGCGAAAGYGUGGGGAGCAAACAGGAUUAGAUACCCUGGUAGUCCACGCCRUAAACGUYGGGCACUAGGUGUGGGGCGUUAUCAACGCGUUCCGUGCCGUAGCUAACGCAUUAAGUGCCCCGCCUGGGGAGUACGGCCGCAAGGCUAAAACUCAAAGGAAUUGACGGGGGCCCGCACAAGCGGCGGAGCAUGUUGCUUAAUUCGAGGCAACRCGAAGAACCUUACCUGGGUUUGACAUGWAGGGAAAAGCCAUAGAGAUAUGGUGUCCWUUUGGGUCCUACACARGUGGUGCAUGGCUGUCRUCAGCUCSUGUCGUGAGAUGUUGGGUUAAKUCCCRCAACKAGCGCAACCCUCGUMCUAUGUUGCCAGCGG
This 720-nucleotide ribosomal RNA is filed under the name uncultured bacterium. RNAcentral describes it as "partial 16S ribosomal RNA". It matches the Rfam family "Bacterial small subunit ribosomal RNA", at positions 387 to 1124 of the family's 1533-position model. The record is from RNAcentral.